GUAGGGGACGAGCGUUGUCCGGAUUUAUUGGGCGUAAAGCGCGCGUAGGCGGCCCGGAAAGUCGGUUGUGAAAACCCGGGGCUCAACCCCGGGCCUGCAUCCGAAACUUCCGGGCUGGAGGUAGGUAGGGGAGAUCGGAAUUCCUGGUGUAGCGGUGAAAUGCGCAGAUAUCAGGAGGAACACCGGUGGCGAAGGCGGAUCUCUGGGCCUUACCUGACGCUGAGGCGCGAAAGCCAGGGGAGCGAACAGGAUUAGAUACCCUGGUAGUCCUAGCCGUAAACGUUGGGUGCUAGGUGUGGGUGGACAUCGACCCCAUCCGUGCCGAAGCUAACGCAUUAAGCACCCCGCCUGGGGAGUACGGCCGCAAGGCUA
RNAcentral lists this ribosomal RNA (372 nucleotides) under uncultured bacterium. RNAcentral describes it as "bacterial SSU rRNA". It matches the Rfam family "Bacterial small subunit ribosomal RNA", at positions 527 to 896 of the family's 1533-position model. The record is from RNAcentral.